Molecule: ribosomal RNA, 253 nt
Filed under: uncultured bacterium
Lineage: Bacteria
Description: partial 16S ribosomal RNA
Rfam family: Bacterial small subunit ribosomal RNA
Source: RNAcentral
UACGUAGGGUGCGAGCGUUAAUCGGAAUUACUGGGCGUAAAGCGUGCGCAGGCGGUUCGUUGUGUCGGUGGUGAAAUCCCCGGGCUUAACCUGGGAAUGGCCAUGGAAACUGGCGAACUGGAGUGCGGCAGAGGGGGGUGGAAUUCCACGUGUAGCAGUGAAAUGCGUAGAGAUGUGGAGGAACACCGAUGGCGAAGGCAGCCCCCUGGGUCAAAACUGACGCUCAUGCACGAAAGCGUGGGGAGCAAACAGG